AUUGAACGCUGGCGGCAGGCCUAACACAUGCAAGUCGAACGAGUGGCGGACGGGUGAGUAAUGUCUGGGAAACUGCCCGAUGGAGGGGGCUAACUACGGGAAACGGUAGCUAAUACCGCAUACCAUCGGAUGUGCCCAGAUGGGAUUAGCUAGUAGGUGUGGUAACGGCUCACCUAGGCGACGAUCCCUAGCUGGUCUGAGAGGAUGACCAGACACAUUGGAACGUAGACAAGGUCAAGACUCCGACGGGAGGCAGCAGUGGGGAAUAUUGCACAAUGGGCGCAAGCCUGAUGAAGCCAGGCCGCGUGUAUGAAGAAGGCCUUCGGGUUGUAAAGUACUGUCAGCGAGGAGGCGUUACUCGCAGAAGAAGCACCGGCUAACUCCGUGCCAGCAGCCGCGGUAAUUC
RNAcentral lists this ribosomal RNA (406 nucleotides) under uncultured bacterium. RNAcentral describes it as "partial 16S ribosomal RNA". It matches the Rfam family "Bacterial small subunit ribosomal RNA", at positions 30 to 526 of the family's 1533-position model. The record is from RNAcentral.